GACGAACGCUGGCGGCGUGCUUAACACAUGCAAGUCGAACGGUAAGGCCCUUCGGGGUACACGAGUGGCGAACGGGUGAGUAACACGUGGGUGAUCUGCCCUGCACUUCGGGAUAAGCCUGGGAAACUGGGUCUAAUACCGGAUAGGACCACUGCCUGCAUGGGUGGUGGUGGAAAGCUUUUGCGGUGUGGGAUGGGCCCGCGGCCUAUCAGCGUGUGGGUGGGGUGGUGGCCUACCAAGGCGACGACGGGUAGCCGGCCUGAGAGGGUGACCGGCCACAAUGGGACUGGGAUACGGCACAGACUCCUACGGGGGGCAGCAGUGGGGAAUAUUGCACAAUGGGCGCGAGCCUGAUGCAGCGACGCCGCGGGAGGGAUGACGGCCUUCGGGUUGUAAACCUCUUUCAGCACCGACGAAGCGCAAGUGACGGUAGGUGCAGAAGAAGGACCGGCCAACUACGUGCCAGCCGCCGCAGUAA
This 478-nucleotide ribosomal RNA is filed under the name uncultured bacterium. RNAcentral's name for it is "partial 16S ribosomal RNA". It matches the Rfam family "Bacterial small subunit ribosomal RNA", at positions 28 to 523 of the family's 1533-position model. The record is from RNAcentral.